AUCAGUCUCCGGAAUUUCUGGCC
This 23-nucleotide microRNA is filed under the name Caenorhabditis briggsae. RNAcentral describes it as "Cbr-Novel-6-P1_3p (mature (co-guide))". Lineage: Eukaryota; Metazoa; Nematoda; Chromadorea; Rhabditida; Rhabditidae. The record is from RNAcentral.